GAUGAACGCUGACAGAAUGCUUAACACAUGCAAGUCAACUGUGGCGGACGGGUGAGUAACGCGUAAAGAACUUGCCUCACAGCUAGGGACAACAUUUGGAAACGAAUGCUAAUACAUGAUACUGUGAGAGAGCUUUGCGUCACAUUAGCUAGUGGGAGAGGUAACGGCUCACCAAGGCGAGGAUGGGUAGCCGGCCUGAGAGGGUGAUCGGCCACAAGGGGAUGGGGACACGGCCCUUACUCAUAAGUGAGGCAGGAGUGGGGAAUUUUUGACAAUGGACCAAAGUCUGAUCCAGCCAUUCUGUGUGCACGAUGAAUUUUUCGGAAUGUAAAGUGCUUUCAUUUGGGAAGCGGUACCAACAGAAGAAGUGACGGCUAAAUACGUGCCAGCAGCCGCGGUAAUAC
This 404-nucleotide ribosomal RNA is filed under the name uncultured bacterium. Its description in RNAcentral is "partial 16S ribosomal RNA". It matches the Rfam family "Bacterial small subunit ribosomal RNA", at positions 28 to 526 of the family's 1533-position model. The record is from RNAcentral.